RNAcentral lists this ribosomal RNA (342 nucleotides) under uncultured bacterium. Its description in RNAcentral is "bacterial SSU rRNA". It matches the Rfam family "Bacterial small subunit ribosomal RNA", at positions 32 to 355 of the family's 1533-position model. The record is from RNAcentral.
AAUCAACGCUGGCGGCGUGCCUAACACAUGCAAGUCGAACGCGAAAGCCCCUUCGGGGGUAAGUAGAGUGGCGUCCGGGUGAGUAACACGUAGGUAAUCUGCCUUCGGGUGGGGAAUAACCAGUCGAAAGAUUGGCUAAUACCGCAUAAUGCAGCGGCACCUAAUGGUGAUUAGUUGUUAAAGCGGGGGAUCGUAAGACCUCGCGCCUGAAGAGGAGCCUGCGGCAGAUUAGCUAGNGGUGAGGUAAUGGCUCACCAAGGCUUCGAUCUGUAGCUGGUCUGAGAGGACGGCCAGCCACACUGGCACUGACACACGGGCCAGACUCCUACGGGAGGCAGCAGU